AUUGAACGCUGGCGGCAUGCCUUACACAUGCAAGUCGAACGAGGGUAGCAAUACCUUAGUGGCGAACGGGUGAGUAAUAUAUCGGAACGUACCCUAGAGUGGGGGACAACCAGUCGAAAGACUGGCUAAUACCGCAUACGAUCUCUGGAUGAAAGUGGGGGACCGCAAGGCCUCACGCUCCGGGCGCGGCCGAUAUCUGAUUAGCUAGUUGGUGGGGUAAAGGCCCACCAAGGCUUCGAUCAGUAGCUGGUCUGAGAGGACGAUCAGCCACACUGGGACUGAGACACGGCCCAGACUCCUACGGGAGGCAGCAGUGGGGAAUUUUGGACAAUGGGCGCAAGCCUGAUCCAGCCAUGCCGCGUGCAGGAUGAAGGCCUUCGGGUUGUAAACUGCUUUUGUACGGAACGAAAAGGUUUGACUUAAUACGUUGGACUCAUGACGGUACCGUAAGAAUAAGCACCGGCUAACUACGUGCCAGCCGCCGCAGUAA
Molecule: ribosomal RNA, 490 nt
Filed under: uncultured bacterium
Lineage: Bacteria
Description: partial 16S ribosomal RNA
Rfam family: Bacterial small subunit ribosomal RNA
Source: RNAcentral